This 449-nucleotide ribosomal RNA is filed under the name uncultured organism. RNAcentral's name for it is "partial 16S ribosomal RNA". It matches the Rfam family "Bacterial small subunit ribosomal RNA", at positions 334 to 799 of the family's 1533-position model. The record is from RNAcentral.
CACUCCUGCGGGAGGCAGCAGUGGGGAAUAUUGGACAAUGGGCGCAAGCCUGAUCCAGCCAUGCCGCGUGAGUGAUGAAGGCCCUAGGGUUGUAAAGCUCUUUCACCGGUGAAGAUAAUGACGGUAACCGGAGAAGAAGCCCCGGCUAACUUCGUGCCAGCAGCCGCGGUAAUACGAAGGGGGCUAGCGUUGUUCGGAUUUACUGGGCGUAAAGCGCACGUAGGCGGACUAUUAAGUCAGGGGUGAAAUCCCGGGGCUCAACCCCGGAACUGCCUUUGAUACUGGUAGUCUUGAGUUCGAGAGAGGUGAGUGGAAUUCCGAGUGUAGAGGUGAAAUUCGUAGAUAUUCGGAGGAACACCAGUGGCGAAGGCGGCUCACUGGCUCGAUACUGACGCUGAGGUGCGAAAGCGUGGGGAGCAAACAGGAUUAGAAACCCGGGUAGUCCCAUG